Oncorhynchus keta (chum salmon) is the source of this 615-nucleotide long non-coding RNA. RefSeq lists it as uncharacterized. The transcript has 4 exons. The record is from RefSeq and is a predicted model, not a curated record. NCBI's taxonomy places the organism in Eukaryota, Metazoa, Chordata, Actinopteri, Salmoniformes, Salmonidae.
UCAACACUAAGGGAAGGACUGAUUUAAACACUGACGGAGGUGCUGCUAUCAACACUAAGGGAAGGACUGAUUUAAACACUGACGGAGGUGCUGCUAUCAACACUAAGGGAAGGACUGAUUUAAACACUGACGGAGGUGCUGCUAUCAACACUAAGGGAAGGACUGAUUUAAACACUGACGGAGGUGCUGCUAUCAACACUAAGGGAAGGACUGAUUUAAACACUGACGGAGGUGCUGCUAUCAACACUAAGGGAAGGACUGAUUUAAACACUGACGGAGGUGCUGCUAUCAACACUAAGGGAAGGACUGAUUUAAACACUGACGGAGGUGCUGCUAUCAACACUAAGGGAAGGACUGAUUUAAACACUGACGGAGGUGCUGCUAUCAACACUAAGGGAAGGACUGAUUUAAACACUGACGGAGGUGCUGCUAUCAACACUAAGGGAAGGACUGAUUUAAACACUGACGGAGGUGCUGCUAUCAACACUAAGGGAAGGACUGAUUUAAACACUGACAGAGGUGCUGCUAUCAACACUAAGGGAAGGACUGAUUUAAACACUGACGGAGGUGCUGCUAUCAACACUAAGGGAAGGACUGAUUUAAACACUGACGGAA